CUUUACUGUAUCCUAAAAUUGGAUUUGGGUUUAUUUUGCGCAGCAUAGGUGGGAGGCAAAGAUAUUAUAUUUGAGGAUAUAAAGGAGCCACUAGUGAGAUACCACUCUAAUUAAACUAGAAUUCUAAUCUUGAUGCCGUUAUCCGGCCAAGAGACAUUUUUAGGUGGGCAGUUUGACUGGGGCGGUCGCCUCCUAAAAGGUAACGGAGGCGUGCAAAGGUUUUCUCAGGCUGGUCGGAAAUCAGUCGUAGAGUGUAAAGGCAUAAGAAAGCUUGACUGCGAGAUCUACAAAUCAAGCAGAGACGAAAGUCGGCCUUAGUGAUCCGACAGUACUGAGUGGAAAGGCUGUCGCUCAACGGAUAAAAGUUA
This 368-nucleotide ribosomal RNA is filed under the name Herposiphonia sp. ARS-2011. RNAcentral's name for it is "bacterial LSU rRNA". It matches the Rfam family "Bacterial large subunit ribosomal RNA", at positions 2099 to 2465 of the family's 2925-position model. The record is from RNAcentral. Lineage: Eukaryota; Rhodophyta; Florideophyceae; Ceramiales; Rhodomelaceae.